RNAcentral lists this transfer RNA (72 nucleotides) under Phrynosoma platyrhinos (Desert horned lizard). Its description in RNAcentral is "tRNA-OTHER". Lineage: Eukaryota; Metazoa; Chordata; Lepidosauria; Squamata; Phrynosomatidae. The record is from RNAcentral.
GCCAGUGUGGUGUAGUGGCUUGAAUGCUGGAUUACAACUCUGGAGACCAGGGUUCAAAUCCUGGCUCAGCCA